CAUUAGGUUGAUUCUGCCUAACGUAGAUGCUAGUCUCUGAGAUUAAGCCAUGCAUGUCAGUGAAGCCUUACGGCGGAACGGCGAACGGCUCAGUAAUGUUGCGGUAAUUUGGUCUCUGUGUGUAAACUAACCACGGUAACCUGUGGCUAAAAGCGGAGAAUAAGGCGCAACCCUAUCAGCUUGUUGGUAGUGUAAAGGACUACCAAGGCCAUGACGGGUAACGGGAAAUCAGGGUUGAUUCCGGAGAGGAGCUGAAGAUGCUCCACGUCAGGACGCAGCAGGCGAACUGUCACUCU
Molecule: non-coding RNA, 296 nt
Filed under: Enterocytozoon bieneusi H348
Lineage: Eukaryota; Fungi; Microsporidia; Enterocytozoonidae
Description: Microsporidia small subunit ribosomal RNA
Rfam family: Microsporidia small subunit ribosomal RNA
Source: Rfam by way of RNAcentral